This 984-nucleotide ribosomal RNA is filed under the name Bacteroides thetaiotaomicron. RNAcentral's name for it is "partial 16S ribosomal RNA". Lineage: Bacteria; Pseudomonadati; Bacteroidota; Bacteroidia; Bacteroidales; Bacteroidaceae. The record is from RNAcentral.
CACGUGUGUAGCCCCGGACGUAAGGGCCGUGCUGAUUUGACGUCAUCCCCACCUUCCUCACAUCUUACGACGGCAGUCUCUCUAGAGUCCUCAGCAUGACCUGUUAGUAACUAAAGAUAAGGGUUGCGCUCGUUAUGGCACUUAAGCCGACACCUCACGGCACGAGCUGACGACAACCAUGCAGCACCUUCACAUUUGCCUUGCGGCUAACCUGUUUCCAGAUUAUUCAAAUGCAAUUUAAGCCCGGGUAAGGUUCCUCGCGUAUCAUCGAAUUAAACCACAUGUUCCUCCGCUUGUGCGGGCCCCCGUCAAUUCCUUUGAGUUUCACCGUUGCCGGCGUACUCCCCAGGUGGAAUACUUAAUGCUUUCGCUUGGCCGCUUACUGUAUAUCGCAAACAGCGAGUAUUCAUCGUUUACUGUGUGGACUACCAGGGUAUCUAAUCCUGUUUGAUACCCACACUUUCGAGCAUCAGUGUCAGUUGCAGUCCAGUGAGCUGCCUUCGCAAUCGGAGUUCUUCGUGAUAUCUAAGCAUUUCACCGCUACACCACGAAUUCCGCCCACCUCUACUGUACUCAAGACAGCCAGUAUCAACUGCAAUUUUACGGUUGAGCCGCAAACUUUCACAACUGACUUAACUGUCCACCUACGCUCCCUUUAAACCCAAUAAAUCCGGAUAACGCUCGGAUCCUCCGUAUUACCGCGGCUGCUGGCACGGAGUUAGCCGAUCCUUAUUCAUAUGGUACAUACAAAAUUCCACACGUGGAAAACUUUAUUCCCAUAUAAAAGAAGUUUACAACCCAUAGGGCAGUCAUCCUUCACGCUACUUGGCUGGUUCAGACUNGCGUCCAUUGACCAAUAUUCCUCACUGCUGCCUCCCGUAGGAGUUUGGACCGUGUCUCAGUUCCAAUGUGGGGGACCUUCCUCUCAGAACCCCUAUCCAUCGAAGGUUUGGUGAGCCGUUACCUCACCAACUGCCUAAUGGA